GCGUCUGUAGCUCAGUUGGUAGAGCAAUGGGUUGUGGUUCCAUUGGUCGCGGGUUCGAUUCCCGUCGGUCGCCCCA
This 76-nucleotide transfer RNA is filed under the name candidate division SR1 bacterium Aalborg_AAW-1. RNAcentral describes it as "tRNA-His". It matches the Rfam family "tRNA". Rfam says of the family: Transfer RNA (tRNA) molecules are approximately 80 nucleotides in length. Their secondary structure includes four short double-helical elements and three loops (D, anti-codon, and T loops). Further hydrogen bonds mediate the characteristic L-shaped molecular structure. tRNAs have two regions of fundamental functional importance: the anti-codon, which is responsible for specific mRNA codon recognition, and the 3' end, to which the tRNAs corresponding amino acid is attached (by aminoacyl-tRNA synthetases). tRNAs cope with the degeneracy of the genetic code in two manners: having more than one tRNA (with a specific anti-codon) for a particular amino acid; and 'wobble' base-pairing, i.e. permitting non-standard base-pairing at the 3rd anti-codon position. The record is from RNAcentral. Lineage: Bacteria; Candidatus Absconditibacteriota.